GGAGGGGUGGCAGAGAGGUCUAUCGCACCGCACUUGAAAUGCGGCGUGGGGUAAAUCCCACCGUGAGUUCGAAUCUCACCCCCUCCG
This 87-nucleotide transfer RNA is filed under the name bacterium. Its description in RNAcentral is "tRNA-Ser". It matches the Rfam family "tRNA". From Rfam's summary of the family: Transfer RNA (tRNA) molecules are approximately 80 nucleotides in length. Their secondary structure includes four short double-helical elements and three loops (D, anti-codon, and T loops). The record is from RNAcentral.